Molecule: ribosomal RNA, 254 nt
Filed under: uncultured bacterium
Lineage: Bacteria
Description: partial 16S ribosomal RNA
Rfam family: Bacterial small subunit ribosomal RNA
Source: RNAcentral
UACAGAGGGGGCAAGCGUUGUUCGGAAUUACUGGGCGUAAAGGGCGCGUAGGCGGCCUGUUAAGUCGAACGUGAAAUCCCCGGGCUCAACCCGGGAACUGCGUCCGAUACUGGCAGGCUUGAAUUCGGGAGAGGGAUGCGGAAUUCCAGGUGUAGCGGUGAAAUGCGUAGAUAUCUGGAGGAACACCGGUGGCGGAAGGCGGGUCUCUGGACAGUUCCUGACACUGAGGCACGAAGGCCAGGGGAGCAAACGGG